This 468-nucleotide ribosomal RNA is filed under the name uncultured bacterium. Its description in RNAcentral is "partial 16S ribosomal RNA". It matches the Rfam family "Bacterial small subunit ribosomal RNA", at positions 28 to 507 of the family's 1533-position model. The record is from RNAcentral.
GACGAACGCUGGCGGCGUGCUUAACACAUGCAAGUCGAACGGAAAGGCCCUGCUUUUGUGGGGUGCUCGAGUGGCGAACGGGUGCGUAACACGUGAGCAACCUGCUCUUGUCUUUGGGAUAACUUCAGGAAACUGGGGUUAAUAUCGUACAGGAGCUCCUGCUGCAUGGUGGGGGUUGGAAAGUUUCGGCGGUUGGGGAUGGACUCGCGGCUUACCAGCUUGUUGGUGGGGUAGUGGCUUACCAAGGCUUUGACGGGUAGCCGGCCUGGGAGGGUGACCGGCCACAUUGGGACUGAGAUACGGCCCAGACUCCUACGGGAGGCAGCAGUGGGGAAUAUUGCACAAUGGGCGGGAGCCUGAUGCAGCAACGCCGCGGGCGGGAUGACGGCCUUCGGGGUGUAAACCGCUUUCGCCUGUGACGAAGCGGGAGUGACGGUAAUGGGUGAAGAAGCACCGGCUAACUACGUG